AUAUCAAUAAGCGGAGGAAAAGAAACUAACAAGGAUUCCCCUAGUAACUGCGAGUGAAGCGGGAAAAGCUCAAAUUUAAAAUCUGCAGGUCUGCUGGCUGUUCGAGUUGUAAUCUAGAGAAGUGCUUAUCCGCGCUGGACCGUGUACAAGUCUCCUGGAAUGGAGCGUCAUAGAGGGUGAGAAUCCCGUCUUUGACACGGACUACCAGGGCUUAUGUGAUAUGCUUCUCAAAGAGUCGAGUUGUUUGGGAAUGCAGCUCUAAAUGGGUGGUAAAUUCCAUCUAAAGCUAAAUAUUGGCGAGAGACCGAUAGCGAACAAGUACCGUGAGGGAAAGAUGAAAAGAACUUUGGAAAGAGGAGUUAAACAGUAC
This 370-nucleotide ribosomal RNA is filed under the name uncultured fungus. Its description in RNAcentral is "eukaryotic LSU rRNA". It matches the Rfam family "Eukaryotic large subunit ribosomal RNA", at positions 40 to 398 of the family's 3401-position model. The record is from RNAcentral. Lineage: Eukaryota; Fungi.